CCAAGGCAGUGUGGAGCUCGAUAGAGGUGGCACUCCUCAAGUAAUUAAUGGUGGACGAAGGGCAGUCCAAUUGGCUUCUGCGGUGAAGCCGAUUACAGAAUUAGGUGAGAGAAGGUAGUAUCUCACCCCUUACUAAGUGACACACAUGUCAAGACAAAUAAGCAGAUUGAGCCCAAGGCAGUGUGGAGCUCGAUAGAGGUGGCACUCCUCAAGUAAUUAAUGGCGAGAAGGGCGGUACACCUGGCUUCUAAAGUGAGGCCGAUUACAGAAUAAGGUGAGAGAAGGUAGUAUCUCACCCCUUACAAGUGACACACAUGUCAAGACAAAUAAGCAGAUUGAGCCCAAGGCAGUGUGGAGCUCGAUAGAGGUGGCACUCCUCAAGUAAUUAAUGGUGGAGAAGGGCAGUCCAAUUGGCUUCUGCGGUGAAGCCGAUUACAGAAUAAGGUGAGAGAAGGUAGUAUCUCACCCCUUACAAGUGACACACAUGUCAAGACAAAUAAGCAGAUUGAGCCCAAGGCAAUGUGGAGCUCGAUAGAGGUGGCACUCCUCAAGUAAUUAAUGGUCGAGAAGGGCGGUACACCUGGCUUCUAAAGUGAGGCCGAUUACAGAAUAAGGUGAGAGAAGGUAGUAUCUCACCCCUUACAAGUGACACACAUGUCAAGA
Long non-coding RNA from Sebastes umbrosus (honeycomb rockfish), 663 nucleotides. RefSeq lists it as uncharacterized. The transcript is spliced from 2 exons. The record is from RefSeq and is a predicted model, not a curated record. Lineage: Eukaryota; Metazoa; Chordata; Actinopteri; Perciformes; Sebastidae.